Molecule: long non-coding RNA, 1399 nt
Organism: Numida meleagris (helmeted guineafowl)
Lineage: Eukaryota; Metazoa; Chordata; Aves; Galliformes; Numididae
Exons: 3
Source: RefSeq, a predicted model, not a curated record
GGUCUCUGUCUACCUGAGGCCUUCUAAGGGAUUGCAGGGACAAUAUAAAGAGGAGAAAAAUGACAACAGACUGCUCCACUUCUAAUGACAUCAAGUGAUUCAAAUCUGACACUGAUGGGAUACUUUGAGAAGCUACCAUCAAUUCUCUCAAAUCUUUCUUUCUCCCUGCCUUCCCUCUGGACUUGGAACACUGGACUGAAAAGAAGAUGCCACAGAAGUAGCUAUUGCCCAGCAAUGGAGCAGGAAAUUCUUCAUUUCCACCUAUAGCCCUGGAAUACUGUCUGACAAGCACAAGAAAAAUAAGUGUUGCUGUUCUGCCAAUGCCCAAAGACUUCAAAGAGGAUUGGACCCAACAGGCCGUGGGAUGUUCAAAUGCAAAGUAGGACAUGGCCAUGCAGUUGAGAGCUGGUGUAGCUGGUCCCUGAAGUGCCUGUGCCCUGCCUUGGUGGGAAUUCCUGCAGCAACACUUAAAAACAUACGAACUGGUUUGACAGCACUUCAUUUUGACACAAUGAGUUCCAAACAAACCUUGUGGGGCCGAUUUAUCUUUUUGCACAUGCUGUCUCUUAUAAUGUAAUCUGCUGGUAUUGGAGGAUGAAAACCAUUGUAGAAGGGAAAUCAUGAAAAAGAAGCGUGUUCCUCCAGCUGACUGGAGUCAGCUGACUUUAAUCCGCUCUAAUAUUUUAGUUUGAUUUCCUCAGGAAAUGAAGCCUAGCUGAUAGUAUGCAUCAAUCUGUUUUUUCCAUGUGUUGUUCCUCCCAACCAAUUUCAACCACAUUUAAAAGAGGGCGGAAAGCUGAAAAGUGAGUUUGCACCUGUAUGGUUCUUAAUAGCUGGUGAUUAGGUAAUGCCUCACUCUGUCCAUAGAGGAAAGGCACCUGGCGGCAGCUAGCCAGGCCAAAUGGUGUCUCUGUUUCGCACUGCAGUGUGCAUUUUGGUAAACUAGAAAACAAGUACACGCUUCUGGACUACCCGCAGCAAACAGUUUAUUUUUGCUGCAGGGGAUGUCAUAGGGAUAUGAUGGGAUCUGGUCUUGGGAAGGCAGGCUUUGUAAUUUCUGUUUGCAGAGCAGCUUGCUCUAAAGCAGUCUAAAAAGGAAUACUUCUGGAGUGGCAUUACUUCUUUAGUGGCAAGAAUCCUGCAUACCUUUCCUAUGCAUGCACAGUCACCUUAGCAUUCUAGGGGGAUUCAUAAGGAGACUUUCUCUCUUUAUUUUUUUCAUAGGAUUUGCCUAGAAGGUGUAGGACAGACUGGAUAUUGAACCAGAACAGCUGCUGCUGCCUGUUCCACCUGCGGGUACUUUUCUCCCCCACAUUGCUAUCACUAGGUCAAUGGUGUGGACCAACACCAUUGCAUCUCCAUCAACCUCUCUCCUUCCCCACUUGCAGGCCGGGCCCUU